UACGUAGGGAGCAAGCGUUGUCCGGAAUCAUUGGGCGUAAAGAGCGCGUAGGUGGCUUUAUAAGUCCGUUGUGAAAGUCAAAGGCUCAACCUUUGAAAGCCGAUGGAUACUGUGAAGCUAGAGUACGGAAGAGGCGAGUGGAAUUCCUGGUGUAGCGGUGGAAUGCGCAGAUAUCAGGAGGAACACCAACGGCGAAGGCAGCUCGCUGGGACGGUACUGACGCUGAGGCGCGAAAGCGUGGGGAGCAAACAGG
Molecule: ribosomal RNA, 253 nt
Filed under: uncultured bacterium
Lineage: Bacteria
Description: partial 16S ribosomal RNA
Rfam family: Bacterial small subunit ribosomal RNA
Source: RNAcentral